GAUCCUGGCUCAGGACGAACGCUGGCGGCGCGCCUAACACAUGCAAGUCGAACGAGCGGAGAGAGAGCUUGCUUUCUUCAAGCGAGUGGCGAACGGGUGAGUAACGCGUGAGGAACCUGCCUCAAAGAGGGGGACAACAGUUGGAAACGACUGCUAAUACCGCAUAAGCCCACGACCCGGCAUCGGGUAGAGGGAAAAGGAGCAAUCCGCUUUUGAGAUGGCCUCGCGUCCGAUUAGCUAGUUGGUG
RNAcentral lists this ribosomal RNA (247 nucleotides) under uncultured bacterium. Its description in RNAcentral is "partial 16S ribosomal RNA". It matches the Rfam family "Bacterial small subunit ribosomal RNA", at positions 15 to 254 of the family's 1533-position model. The record is from RNAcentral.